Molecule: long non-coding RNA, 500 nt
Filed under: Phoenix dactylifera (date palm)
Lineage: Eukaryota; Viridiplantae; Streptophyta; Magnoliopsida; Arecales; Arecaceae
Description: long non-coding RNA (PDAC_LNC022309)
Source: RNAcentral
AAAGUUGUUAGUGAGAGAUAUCUACCUAUUAUUAAAUGACUUUGAAAGCUAACACGAGAAUAGUUUAGUGAAGAUGUGAUGUCAUUAAGAAGAUUAAGCACUUCUCUAUUGGUUGGCUUCUGCAUAAUUUUAACAGGCCAAGUUCCUUAACUUUAGAUCUAUGAAUUAUUGAAGAUCAUUUUUAACUCUCUGAGAAAAGAUUUGCCCGUUGUGAUGAAAAAGACAAUCUAGUGGCAGAGUAAAUGAUGCAGAACCAAAUCCGGGAACAACAGCUGCAGCGGCGAUGAUGCACUCUUGAAAUUAUUGCCGUGAGUUGUAACUUUAAAAUGGAAGCAGAAGAAGAGGGGGAAGAGAAGGAGGAAGAAGAGAAGAAGGAGAAGGGAGGAGGAAGAAAGGAGAGGAAAACGUGGGGGAAAGAAAUUCUUAAUUAUUCGUUAAAAUCCUAAUCAUGAAAAUAGUCCCCUAUAUAUAGGGCCAAAUACACAAUUUGCAUAAAUCCC